This 253-nucleotide ribosomal RNA is filed under the name uncultured bacterium. RNAcentral's name for it is "partial 16S ribosomal RNA". It matches the Rfam family "Bacterial small subunit ribosomal RNA", at positions 524 to 776 of the family's 1533-position model. The record is from RNAcentral.
UACGUAGGGGGCGAGCGUUGUCCGGAUUUAUUGGGCGUAAAGAGCUCGUAGGCGGUUUCGUAAGUCAAGUGUGAAAAAUCUGGGCUUAACCCAGUGGAGCACUUGAUACUGCGAUGACUUGAGUGUGGUAGAGGAGUGUGGAAUUCCUGGUGUAGCGGUGAAAUGCGUAGAGAUCCGGAGGAACACCAGUGGCGAAGGCGGCUCUCUGGGUCCGCCCUGACGCUGAGGAGCGAAAGCAUGGGGAGCAAACAGG